Molecule: ribosomal RNA, 506 nt
Filed under: uncultured bacterium
Lineage: Bacteria
Description: bacterial SSU rRNA
Rfam family: Bacterial small subunit ribosomal RNA
Source: RNAcentral
AGAGUUUGAUCAUGGCUCAGGACGAACGCUGGCGGCGUGCUUAACACAUGCAAGUCACGGGGGCCCGCAAGGGCAACCGGCGAACGGGUGCGUAACACGUGAGCAACCUGCCGAUCUGAGGGGGAUAGCCGGCCCAACGGCCGGGUAAUACCGCAUACGUUCUCGAAGAGGAGUCUCUUUGAGAAGAAACCUCCGGGGCAGAUCGAGGGGCUCGCGGCCUAUCAGCUAGUCGGCGGUGUAAUGGACCACCAAGGCUAUGACGGGUAGCUGGUCUGAGAGGAUGGCCAGCCACAUUGGGACUGAGAGACGGCCCAGACUCCUACGGGAGGCAGCAGUGGGGAAUCUUGCGCAAUGGCCGAAAGGCUGACGCAGCGACGCCGCGUGUGGGAUGAAGCAUUUCGGUGUGUAAACCACUGUUGCCCGGGACGAACAUCCUCUUUCGAGAGGACUGACGGUACCGGGUGAGGAAGCACCGGCUAACUCCGUGCCAGCAGCCGCGGUAAUAC